GACGAACGCUGGCGGCGUGCUUAACACAUGCAAGUCGAGCGGUAAGGCCCUUUCGGGGGUACACGAGCGGCGAACGGGUGAGUAACACGUGGGUGACCUGCCUUUAGCUCUGGGAUAAGCCUGGGAAACCGGGUCUAAUACCGGAUAUGACUCCGCGGCGCAUGUUGUGGGGUGGAAAGCCUUGUGCGGCUGGAGAUGGGCCCGCGGCCUAUCAGCUUGUUGGUGGGGUGAUGGCCUACCAAGGCGACGACGGGUAGCCGGCCUGAGAGGGCGACCGGCCACACUGGGACUGAGACACGGCCCAGACUCCUACGGGAGGCAGCAGUGGGGAAUCUUGCGCAAUGGGCGAAAGCCUGACGCAGCGACGCCGCGUGAGGGAUGACGGCCU
This 388-nucleotide ribosomal RNA is filed under the name uncultured bacterium. Its description in RNAcentral is "bacterial SSU rRNA". It matches the Rfam family "Bacterial small subunit ribosomal RNA", at positions 28 to 417 of the family's 1533-position model. The record is from RNAcentral.